Molecule: long non-coding RNA, 1657 nt
Organism: Anguilla rostrata (American eel)
Lineage: Eukaryota; Metazoa; Chordata; Actinopteri; Anguilliformes; Anguillidae
Exons: 2
Source: RefSeq, a predicted model, not a curated record
AAAACCUUAAAAAUGAAAAAUACAUAAAUAUAUAUUAAAAAUGUAUAUUACUUUUUCUUUCCUUCAGGAAAGCGGCACUUUGAGUGCCUGGGAAUCUAAACAUUUUGAGGAGGGCGCAUUCAAUCGAUCAGAGCUGUAUCUGACAUAUGGAGAUCAGAGAGAAGUGUCUUUAUCUCUGCAUACUGGAGGCGGCCGCGACACCACAUUCACCAUAAAAGAAAGCUGGGACCGAUCUCUAUUUGAGCUGCAUUGUAGUACAUGUGAUGAAGUUAGUACUUGCCCCAACUAUGCAAAAAUUGAGGAAGACCGCAUUCGCCAACAGCAACAAGAGGAACAGAAACGAAAUGAAGAGUUGCGCAGACAAGCGGAACUGCGGCGUUUGGAAAGACUGGAGCAGGAAAAGAGGAUUGAGGAACAAAUCAACAGAGAAAACGAGACCGCAAGAAGGAAGCUGUCAGAAGCAUGGUCAAAGAUAAAUCUGAAUCUAGGUCAAGGGGGGCAAGAGAGACAUCAUCAGCACACCCACGUGGUACAGCAAGCAGUAGAUGACCAUGCAGUUGCUAUAGAGUGGGAUGAGGUACAGUAUGCUGUUUUCUAGCCCAGAUAAAACAAAUUAAGAUAAAUUCAUUAUUUUAAUGCAUAUCUGAAAUAUGAUAGGCCUAAAUAUACUUUCAAGGUCAUGGAAUAAUCUUUUGCAAUCUUGAGCGGAUUGUGUUAAUUUAUACUUAAAGGGGAAUUUCUCUUUAUAACACUUCUUCUCAUGACUGAUAUUGUCCUUCUAAUGAAUACAUUACCCUUCAUUUUUUGAUUAGUUAUUUCAUUAUGUUAAUAUUUUCCACUGUUUUGAUGUUUUCCUUUACAAAUGCAGGAAGUAGACCCUGGCAGUUUAGUGUCAAACUCCAGAAUGAAUAUCAUUGCGUGACUUCAGAUGUGGGCGUACCUGCAGACAAUAACAUUAGGUUGGUUGUAGAAAUAGUGUUGUAUGACUACUAGCUAGCGAAACCGAAAAUGUCUGAGAACAAAGGAGAUUUUGUUUUUGAUCAUGAGAUUGUUGUGCCCUAUUGAUUUGAGCCAGAAUACACAGAAGAAGAGCUGGCUAAUUUGCAGGCUGAUAGUGCGAGAGCGAGUCAGGAGCGGGCUGAGAUCAAGGAACCACAGGCUAUUCCCAGAACAAACGGCAACUUGUGGUAGACAUCCUAUGUAUCACAGACAGACUCGAUAGCGUUAGCCAGCCCGCAUAGUACCUACCACGAGCGGUUCGACCAACGAUGGGAAAACGGUGGGUACAGCUCCAGGCUUCAGACGGUCACCUUGAUAGUUGGUGGCUUCAAAGUGGUCGCUGCAUACUCUUAGUCCUCGUUUGCAAACUUCUUUGGCUGUUAUGUUGGGGUGUCUGAUUACAUCCAGCCAUGUCUGUUGCAUAGCAUGGAAAACUAUGAAAGUGUGCUUUCUAGGCAAGUUUAACGGGGGCAUUAUAACAGCCAGGUACAAUGCACCUCAUUAUUACACAGAUAUUGCAUCAAACAAAAGCUAACAGACGUUAGUUUGUCCGAUUUCAACGCUAAGUUAACGGAAUGUUUUGCUUCGCUUCUUCUCGAUUUUGCCAUGAAACGAAAUCGAAGAAGAAUAUAACGUAUACCGCACUACUAUGUGGACU